Haliotis rubra (blacklip abalone) is the source of this 175-nucleotide long non-coding RNA. RefSeq lists it as uncharacterized. NCBI's taxonomy places the organism in Eukaryota, Metazoa, Mollusca, Gastropoda, Lepetellida, Haliotidae. The record is from RefSeq and is a predicted model, not a curated record. The transcript has 2 exons.
CUUGUGUCUCCGAAACUGAGAAGGAAAGAGGUCGGUAUGCUGGUAUCUCUGAAACUGAGAAGGAAACAAGUGGGGGUGCUUGUGUCUCCGAAACUGAGGAGGAAAGAGGUCGGGGUGCUGGUGUCUCCGAAACUGAGAAGGAAAGAGGUCGGUAUGCUGUUGUCUCUGAAACUGA